CUUGCUUAACUGCUUUCCCUUUGUUUCUGAGUUCUCUCAGUUCCCUAAUUAGUAAGUGAUUGAGUCUGCUCUUUGGAACUCACGGAAGGCCUAGGAGAUUAAAGCUUUUUCUCUACAAACAAGAAAUGGGAAAUACGGAGGGGCUUCUGUACCCGGGAGGACCCUACAGGGUUCUGCUUGGUUUUACACCGAUGUUUUCCCUGAGACUACCACUCUAGUGAACAUGGCUGUGGCCCAGAUUUCUUGGCAGAAAGCUCAGACCAUUACCUCUUACUCAGAAUGGAGGGUGGGGCUGGCUGCAAAAGGUGCAGAGGGUCAAAUUAAUAACAUUCCUCUGUGGUACAUCAACAACAACGAUCGUAUAAGACCUGUCGUGUGUGUGUAUGUAUGAACGCUUGUCCGGAGCAGCCCCAUAGAGAGGCCCACGUGUCAAGGCACUGAGGCCUCUUGCCAACAGCCACAUGAAUGAGGUCAGAAGCAGAUCCUGUAGGCCCAGUCAAGUCUUGGGAGACUACAGCCCUGGCUGCCAGCUUGACGGUAGCCUUCCCCAUAAGCCCUCCUGAGCAUCCAGAUUCCUGACCCUCAGAAGACAUGUGUGAUAAUUGUUCAUUGUUUUAACCUGC
Long non-coding RNA from Bubalus bubalis (water buffalo), 623 nucleotides. RefSeq lists it as uncharacterized. The transcript is spliced from 3 exons. The record is from RefSeq and is a predicted model, not a curated record. NCBI's taxonomy places the organism in Eukaryota, Metazoa, Chordata, Mammalia, Artiodactyla, Bovidae.